GUAGGGAAUAUUGCGCAAUGGACGAAAGUCUGACGCAGCGACGCCGCGUGAGUGAUGAAGGCCUUAGGGUCGUAAAGCUCUGUUGAAUGGGAAGAAAAAAAUGACGGUACCAUUCGAGGAAGGACCGGCUAACUUCGUGCCAGCAGCCGCGGUAAUACGAGGGGUCCUAGCGUUGUUCGGAAUCAUUGGGCGUAAAGGGUGUGUAGGUGGCCAUGUACGUCAGGUGUGAAAGCCCCGGGCUCAACCCGGGAAGUGCACUUGAUACUGCGUGGCUUGAGUACCGAAGAGGGUAGUGGAAUUCCAGGUGUAGUGGUGAAAUACGUAGAUAUCUGGAGGAACACCGGUGGCGAAGGCGGCUACCUGGUCGAGUACUGACACUGAGACACGAAAGCAUGGGGAUCAAACAGGAUUAGAUACCCGAGUAGUCC
RNAcentral lists this ribosomal RNA (428 nucleotides) under uncultured bacterium. Its description in RNAcentral is "partial 16S ribosomal RNA". It matches the Rfam family "Bacterial small subunit ribosomal RNA", at positions 354 to 796 of the family's 1533-position model. The record is from RNAcentral.